Molecule: ribosomal RNA, 492 nt
Filed under: uncultured bacterium
Lineage: Bacteria
Description: partial 16S ribosomal RNA
Rfam family: Bacterial small subunit ribosomal RNA
Source: RNAcentral
AGUGAACGCUGGCGGUAGGCUUAACACAUGCAAGUCGAACGGCAGCACAUUAAUAGCUUGCUCUUACGGGUGGCGAGUGGUGGACGGGUGAGGAAUACAUCGGAAUCUACUUUUUCGUGGGGGAUAACGUAGGGAAACUUACGCUAAUACCGCAUACGACCUACGGGUGAAAGCAGGGGAUCUUCGGUCCUUGCGCGAUUGAAUGAACCGUUGUCGGAUUAGCUAGUUGGCGGGGUAAAGGCCCACCAAGGCGCCGAUCCGUAGCUGGUCUGAGAGGAUGAUCAGCCACACUGGAACUGAGACACGGUCCAGACUGCUACGGGAGGCAGCAGUGGGGAAUAUUGGACAAUGGGCGCAAGCCUGAUCCAGCCAUACCGCGUGGGUGAAGAAGGCCUUCGGGUUGUAAAGCCCUUUUGUUGGGAAAGAAAAGCAGCAGGUUAAUACCCCGCUGGUCUGACGGUAACCAAAGAAUAAGCACCGGCUAACUUCGUG